This is a non-coding RNA of Vicia faba (fava bean), 297 nucleotides long. The record is from the annotation of a GenBank genome assembly. NCBI's taxonomy places the organism in Eukaryota, Viridiplantae, Streptophyta, Magnoliopsida, Fabales, Fabaceae.
UUACAAUACCAGAACCAAAAUCAAAUGAAAUAAAUAGGAACGAAAUUGAAGUUGGCCGUAAUGUGAAACAGUUAUUGAAAUCGGAGUUUGAGAAUUCGACAAAUCGAGAAUGGAAAAUGAAUAAUGUGGAGGAAGAGAUUUAUCAAUUGAAGAACAAUUGAAGAACAAUUGAAGAAGAAAAAGAAGGGGAAUAUUAGGGUGAAGAAUUAGAAAAUGGUUUGUUAUUGAUGUAUGAUUUUUUGUUUGCGCAUUCUGGUUUCGGUGCUUUAUUUUUUUUUUUGUUUCGGUGGUGUUACA